RNAcentral lists this non-coding RNA (48 nucleotides) under Schistosoma mattheei. Lineage: Eukaryota; Metazoa; Platyhelminthes; Trematoda; Strigeidida; Schistosomatidae. The record is from RNAcentral.
AUCUAGCUGACGAGUCCCAAACAGGACGAAACGCGUGUCAAACUGGAU